CGAAUUUCGUCAGGGUAUCCUCCUCCCACCCUGACGGAUACGACCGACCAUCUCCUCCUCCCGAUAGUCGGUCGACCCAAACGACACCCGCCGGACCUCCUCCCCCGGCGGGUGUUGUUG
This 120-nucleotide small RNA is filed under the name Aquamicrobium sp. LC103. RNAcentral describes it as "Mesorhizobium sp. LC103 Alphaproteobacterial ar14". It matches the Rfam family "Alphaproteobacterial ar14". From Rfam's summary of the family: Smr14C2 was renamed NfeR1 (Nodule Formation Efficiency RNA) highly expressed in salt stress and during the symbiotic interaction on legume roots. Lineage: Bacteria; Pseudomonadati; Pseudomonadota; Alphaproteobacteria; Hyphomicrobiales; Phyllobacteriaceae. The record is from Rfam by way of RNAcentral.